This is an RNA transcript of Phoenix dactylifera (date palm), 1952 nucleotides long. It is a transcript of the gene named LL-diaminopimelate aminotransferase, chloroplastic-like, with no coding region annotated. The record is from RefSeq and is a predicted model, not a curated record. Lineage: Eukaryota; Viridiplantae; Streptophyta; Magnoliopsida; Arecales; Arecaceae.
GGGUAUCUGCUUCGUGUCGUAAGUAGGGUUUAAAACCAGCCCCCCAUUUCCCACUCAGCGGCUGUGGCGGCGGCAACAACUCAAAGACUCUCGCAGGGAUCUCGAUGGCGUUGCAAAUUUCCUCGUCCAUCUCUUCCAGUUCUUCUUCCUUUUUGGGCUACAGCGGCUUCGGCGUCAGCAGACCAACGAAGGCUUCUCUUCCAGCGUCGAGAAGCCAUGGGGUUUUCAAGUGCGUCAUUACUCCCCCCGAGCAGACAGCUUACAAGACAAAGGUUUCUCGAAAUGCAAACAUGGCAAAACUUCAAGCUGGUUAUCUCUUUCCGGAGGUUGCUAGAAGAAGAUCAGCACACAUGUUGAAGUACCCUGAUGCUGAGGUUAUAAGCCUUGGUAUCGGUGACACUACCGAGCCUAUUCCAGAAGUUAUAUCCUCUGCCAUGGCAAUGAGGUCACAUUCUUUAUCAACAAUUGAGGGUUACAGUGGCUAUGGAGCCGAACAAGGUGACAAGAACCUAAGAGCUGCUCUAGCCUCAACCUUUUAUGGAGACCUUGGUAUUGAACAAACUGAUAUAUUUGUCUCAGAUGGUGCAAAGUGUGACAUCUCUCGUCUUCAGCUGCUUUUUGGAUCCAAUGUGAUGAUGGCAGUGCAAGAUCCAUCAUACCCUGCAUAUGUUGAUUCAAGUGUUAUUAUGGGGCAAACUGGCUUAUUCCAGAAGAAUAUUGAGAAGUUUGGAAACAUUGAGUACAUGAGAUGCACACCUGAGAAUGGGUUUUUCCCUGAUUUAUCAACUGUUUCAAAAACAGAUAUUAUCUUCUUUUGUUCACCAAACAAUCCAACUGGUUCUGCGGCAUCCAGAGACCAGCUAACGCAGCUAGUGCAGUUUGCAAAGGAAAAUGGGUCUAUCAUAGUUUAUGAUUCUGCUUAUGCCAUGUAUAUUUCAGAUGACAGCCCGCGAUCUAUCUUUGAGAUUCCGGGUGCAAAAGAGGUUGCGAUUGAAACAUCAUCUUUUUCUAAAUAUGCUGGGUUUACUGGUGUUCGUCUUGGUUGGACUGUGGUCCCCAAGGAGUUACUUUUCUCUGAUGGAUUUCCUGUUGCCAAGGAUUUCAAUCGUAUAGUUUGCACUUGCUUUAAUGGUGCAUCCAACAUUUCUCAAGCUGGGGGUCUAGCUUGUCUUUCUUCUGAAGGUUUAAAGGCCAUGAAGGAUGUGAUCAGAUUCUAUAAAGAAAAUUCUGAAAUAAUUGUCGAUACAUUUACUUCACUUGGUUUCCAUGUAUAUGGUGGGAAGAAUGCUCCCUAUGUUUGGGUGCACUUUCCAGGUCGAAGCUCAUGGGAUGUGUUUGCUGAGAUUCUUGAGAAGACACACCUGGUUACAACUCCUGGCAGCGGGUUUGGACCUGGGGGCGAGGGCUUCAUCAGGGUCAGUGCCUUCGGUCAUAGAGGAAAUGUUCUGGAAGCUUGCACAAGACUGAAACAGCUGUACAAGUGAGCAAGAGUAGCCUUCCAAGGCCCCAUGCAGCUGUUGCCGUUCUACAGGAUUUCUGCAAUUUCCUGAAGUUGUCACUUGGCUUGUAGGCAACAAGUUUCAGCUGCUUCUUUUUGGGAAUCACCAUUAAUCAAAGAACAUUUCAACUUCCGCAGGCCAGUCGAGAAAGUCUUUAUGAUCGUUGAAAUCCCUGAAAUCUACCUUCAUGCAAGCCCUGAAAUCUACCUUCAUGGGAUCGUCAUGAUCUUGAUGUCGCUUGUGUGUAGCAUCUUUUUGAAGGAUAAUUUGAUCCACUUCACUCUUACCAUCCUAUCGCAAGGCACCAUAGUUGGCUGUGUGUUGCAUGUUCUCAAGGUUGAUUUAGUCUGCCUACCAUCUUGGACUGAUUUUUGAAGUGCUUCAAUUGAUGCUUGGAACAUGUCUUGUGUCAAGUACCGAUUAGCCUGAAUAUCACCCACAUUGCCUGUCAAA